Molecule: long non-coding RNA, 913 nt
Organism: Rosa chinensis
Lineage: Eukaryota; Viridiplantae; Streptophyta; Magnoliopsida; Rosales; Rosaceae
Exons: 2
Source: RefSeq, a predicted model, not a curated record
AAAACCCUUGCCACUUGCUUUUUUUUUUUUUUUCCUCCUCCUUCUCUCUCUUUCUCCCCGGCCGCACGACCUUGUCACUUUCUCUCUCUUGUCGCUCUCUGCAACGCCGAAAUUCAUGGCGUCCGGCCACCUUUUGGCUACACCACCACCACCAAUCGACUCUAGACCCAAGCCCGACCGAAACCCAAGAGAAAUUAUAGCCAAGUAUCAACCCCAACCUUCACAUCUGAUUUCUAAAAUUUUGAACCUCUAUUCAUCAUUUCCUCUUGAGUUCCGGCCAUUUCUUUAGCUCGCUGCCGCCUCACACGAACUCAGAGCAAGCUGGUAUCAACACUGCAAGCCCGUCACCCACCGAUACCGGAAUACCCCAGAUGCACCCUCACCGGAGUCGUCGGCUCUGGGUUUAUUCAAUCUCCAAGUUCUAGUUUAAAUUGCGCAAGACCACCUCCAAGGAUGGAAUUAGCUCGUUCUUGUCCACCAAAACCCCAUGGUUUCAACCUUCGGUUCUGGCCAAAACCACCCUUUGCGCCUCGUGCGCCGCCGCUGACGCCUGGAUCACCGCAGCUCCGCCGCCGGAUUUCUACGCUGCUCAAGUAGGUAAUUUCGUACCAAUUCCUUGGUGAAGUCUCCAACUCGUUUUGGACCAGGGACCCUAACCUAUUGUUGUUUAAAUUGGCUUUUGAGGUUUGUGGAAUUUUGAGAGUUGGGAGUUUCAGACAAGGAGAGGAUGAUUGGGUCAGUUUUGACAGAAACUGACCAUGGACAUUGGGUGACCGAUGGUGGAGGAAUGCUGUUUUGGCGAAUCGAGUCUUGGUUUGGAAAAGAAGAAUGGUAAAAAUCUCGGGGUUGGAUAUGUUUUGCUUUGUGUUAGUGUACUAGUGAAGAUAUAAUUUUGGGAAUUAUUGAAUUGGAA